Molecule: non-coding RNA, 261 nt
Organism: Pelobates cultripes (western spadefoot toad)
Lineage: Eukaryota; Metazoa; Chordata; Amphibia; Anura; Pelobatidae
Source: the annotation of a GenBank genome assembly
CUAUAAAAGAAUAAAACUCACCUUAUUUCCAGCUCCGCGCAGGUCUGCCGAUAGGGAAAGCAUUGGAUUGGCUAAAAUCAGUAAGGGCGGGCCCAAAUGUAAUUUUGGCCAACCAGGACCUCCUCAUAGAGAUGCAUUGAAUCAAUGCAUCGCUAUGAGGAAAAUUCAGUGCAGUCCUGAGCCAAGCAGCCCCUCUAGAUGCCAUCUAAGGAGUGGCCACUUAGAGGUGUCCCUAGAGGCAAUGUAAAUAUUGCCUUUUCC